RNAcentral lists this ribosomal RNA (337 nucleotides) under Escherichia coli. RNAcentral's name for it is "partial 23S ribosomal RNA". It matches the Rfam family "Bacterial large subunit ribosomal RNA", at positions 903 to 1238 of the family's 2925-position model. Lineage: Bacteria; Pseudomonadati; Pseudomonadota; Gammaproteobacteria; Enterobacterales; Enterobacteriaceae. The record is from RNAcentral.
UAGAGCACUGUUUCGGCAAGGGGGUCAUCCCGACUUACCAACCCGAUGCAAACUGCGAAUACCGGAGAAUGUUAUCACGGGAGACACACGGCGGGUGCUAACGUCCGUCGUGAAGAGGGAAACAACCCAGACCGCCAGCUAAGGUCCCAAAGUCAUGGUUAAGUGGGAAACGAUGUGGGAAGGCCCAGACAGCCAGGAUGUUGGCUUAGAAGCAGCCAUCAUUUAAAGAAAGCGUAAUAGCUCACUGGUCGAGUCGGCCUGCGCGGAAGAUGUAACGGGGCUAAACCAUGCACCGAAGCUGCGGCAGCGACACUAUGUGUUGUUGGGUAGGGGAGCG